CGCAGAAGUUGGACAAAGACACACCCACAGGGAAAGCACCAUGAGAAGAUGACGGCAGAGAUCUGGGCGACGCGUCUACAAGCCAAGCGACACCAAAGGUGGCCAGCAGCCCAUGUGAAGCUGGAGGAGAGGCCUCGAAUAAAUGCUCCCUUACAGCGUUCAGGGGGAACUGACCCUGUCCACACCUUGACCUUGAACUUCUGGGCUCCAGAACUGAGCAGCGUGGCUAGAGGAAUUCCUGCAGCUUAGAUUUCGCUGGCACUGUUACCACUCCCAGAGAGGAGCGGCUGGAGUUCACGGCUGGUUCCUGACAAACUUCCUAAUUAAUCUGCUAAAGAUCAGAGGAGGACUAAUAGGAGCUGAAGACUGUGUGCGAGACCACCCCUCCGCCCUCUCCCUUUGUGUGUGCACGUGUGUGUGUGUGUGUGUGUGAGCGCGUGCGCGCAUGUGGUGCUGAGCUUGGCGGGAGAGAGAUGGCCUCACCAGCGACAAAGCAUUCCUGCUGCUGUUGCUGCCACCUACCUUCCCUGCUUUGGGAGGAUACAUUUUCUCCUCUUGCUUAGAAGUUUCAGGGAGUCACCCAAGCCUUCUUCUCCCAGAUACAACGGUGGAAUAAAAUAUCUUCCAGCCAACAUAUUUUUUGGAGACGGAAUCUCACUCUGUCACCUGGUUGAAGUGCAGCAGCGCGAUCAUGGCUCACUGCAACCUCUGCCUCCCGGUUUCAAGUGAUUCUCCUGCCUCCGCCUCCCGAGUAGCUGGGAUUACAGGCAUGUGCCACCCACCACGCCUGGGUAAUUUUUGUAUUUUUACUAGAGACAGGGUUUCACUAUGUGGGCUGGGCUGGUCUCAAACUCCUGACCUCUGGUGAUCUGCCCACUUCGGCCUCUCAAAGUGCUGGGAUUACAGGCAUGAGCCCCCGCACCCGGUUGCAACCAACUUUUUUGUGGAAUAUAGGAUCUUGAUGUUUGGAUGCCUGAAGGCAGAAGCUGUUGCACAUGGAAUGGAUUAAAGUUUUCCCCUCUGCAACCAAAAAUCCUUGGGGUCCCAGGAGCAAAAGAUGCUCCAUGGCACAGGACAAUUCAAGAAGGCCCGAGGUGAUAUUGAAGACUGCAGAGACAUCCAGCUCAGUUGUGUCUCCGGAGGUGUCCAGACUUUGCAGACAGACGUUGCACAUAAAGAGCUGAAAAACUGAGGAAGCUGAGCUGGAGAAGGAAGUCACUUCUACUCAGACUUGACCUGCGUCUGAUGCUAUGGGGCCUCUUAGGGUUACCUCAUGCUUCAUGCACCCCUUUCUCUGUUCUUCAGCAGAAGGCAGGGUGUAGGGAAGCGGGACUGUGCCUCCUUUCUCCCUGCCAGGCCUGACUCUCCAGGCCAAGAGACACCAUUAAGGAGUAUAAUUUGUUGAUCCAGGCUCUCCUUGCGUUUCAGUGCAGAGUGGCAUCGUUUUCUUUAUGACCUCGUAAAGUCACAGCCGAGAGGCCGAUUUGGAAAACAAACUGCCUCAGGUUGACAGAUAAUUAGAUACAGGGGACAUAUUAUAUGCCUUUGCAUAUAAAUGUGCUCCGAGGCGUGUUGGUUCAUCUGAAGUUGAGGUUAAAGGCGCGCCAGGUAUUCCUGACACAUCAGGAUAUAUAUUUUCAUACAGUCUCAGGUGCUGUGUUGGUUUUAUAGGCCUUUCAUCCUGGUGCUGACGGAUGGGGUGUGAUUGUGACCCAACUUAGAAGAAAGGGACUUCCCUUGCCCAGGGGCCUCCUGGCGUUUUUGUUUUGUGUUCUCCCUCUCCACCCCCACUUUCUCUUCUUCCUUGGGAAGGGAACUGUUCUUUGGACCUAGGAUUCUGCCGUGAGUGACUAAUGGCCUGAGUAGGAGGGACCGGGACUCAUUUUUCUUUUCUGGACUCUAAUAGGCCCAAUUAAUUCAGCUACAACAUGGGCCCUUACAAGCCUGGGACAAGCCUGGGUGGAAUUCUAUAUUGAGGAGUUAAUCCUAAUAAAAAAUGAUUACAGAAGAGGACGCCUCCACCCACAGGAAGGAGCCAGCACGGUGGGGAGCUGUUUCACCAGGGGAGUGUUCUCAGCAGCUGCCACACGUGGAGUUGUGGAGGUAGCAAGCAGAGUUGGGGGAGGAGGGGGAGCCCUGGUUCCUGCUCUUCCAUGAUCAGUGUGCAGCCUUGAGCAUGGCACUCCCUCUCUUCCCAGCUUAGUGUCCUCAUCCGUAAAAUGAGGGGCUCUCUGAGAGUCUGCCAGGGCCGCUGUCUGAUCUGUGACAGCGUGGCAUGUGGUGUGGUAUGUAAUGCACGUUCCUGCCUGCAGGGAGGCCCUCUCCCUUCCCCCACCAGGCUUCUGGGCAGCACUUGCUGUCAUCCUUGCUUCUGGAACAGGACUGUGCUGUUUUCCAGGCCAAAUUGGAGGGCUGAGGGGGUCUAUUAAGAAGACUCUGGGGAGAUGGUGGAACAAUUCUGUGCUUGAAAUUACCUUCCUCUUUAAAUCUUGCCAUGGCCCUAUUAGAAAAGCUAAGGGGGCAGGAGGAGAGGAGCGGGCAGGGAGAGGAGAGAGAGAGAGAAGAAGGAAGAAGGAAAGGGAAAGGUAAGAAACCCCAUAGCCCGACCCUCAGCCCUGUUGAAGGAGAUUAUAUAAAUAGAGUCGCUGUCACUUUGAUGAAUUAAAUCCUCCGUUAAUUAGGACGCAUCCAUUUAAGGGUUGUCCAGCCAGAUAGUCCUUUUCCCUUCCCAGCAAGUCAUAGCUCAGGGAGGAGGCAUGAGAGGGAUCGUUUUCUGUUUCUGGCUUGAUUGCUGGUUUCUUUCUUACUAGGCUUCAUUAAUUAUCCUGGAAUGUGGUCACCCAGUUUUCUUCAACAUGGGCCAUUCUCCUUUUAGCAGGAUCUUGGCAGUGGACUGCCACGGGAGCUCUGGGGAAAAAGGACCAGUUGGACUCCAGUACCUCCUGAGAGACCACCACCCUCCAUGCCUCCAGCUCAUGCCCAGCUCUGAGUCAGACGGACUCUUCCUGUUGUACUGCGAGGUUCUGCAAACCUUGAAGGGCAAACACAGUGAGGGUCUCUGACUUGCUGUGUGGACAGCCCACUCUCUGACAGCCCAGAUCAUCUGAAGCUAUCCCUGGGCUGGGAGCUGGAAGCCAUUCUUGUGAACCACUCCUUAUACCUUGAGCGAAGCCUCUUUGGGUCCCAGAAGUCUGAAGCUCCAGCUGCCUGGCAAGACUGAGUCUAGAUGAUUUCUUGGGUACCAGUAGUUUGGCAUUUAAAAAUACUGGAUUAACUGCAGUGUAAACUUAGAUUGCAUUUCAGAUUGUAAACAAUAACCCCCGUGCUUCAUGUGAUGUUAAAUCAGAAAUGAGCUAUUAGCCAAGCUAGUCCUCUUAUGAAUGAGCCCCUAACCCUGAUCCAGGGAUCGUUGAAUGAAAAUCAUCAAAAUGAUUUAUCUUCACUUUACCUAUUGUCUCACAAGAAUCUCAUCACUCAGGGAAAAGGAGGGUGUUCUUCAGGGAACGGAGGGCAUGAGGAAGGGGGAUUUCCUUAUAUCUCAACUUUCAGAGGGAGCUGAGUUGUAAACAGAUGGAACAAGGUGUGUACGAGAAGCCUCUUAGAUUUAGUCUUUCAUAUCAAGGCUCUUGCUGAAAAUCCUGGCACAGCUGUGAAAUGAGGGGAGCUCUGACACACAGAGACACGCUCCUUGCCUCACCAACCUUCCCAUACACAGUCAUGCGCACAGAGAGCAGGUACCAAUACUGAAAAUGCCCUUCCGGAGUUUCCUCAGCUUAAACCCUUGACAGCAUUAAGUGAGGAAGGAGUUUCCUUGACCUGGGGAAGAAGAACCAACUCAUAAACAUGGAACUGUG
Molecule: long non-coding RNA, 3854 nt
Filed under: Homo sapiens (human)
Lineage: Eukaryota; Metazoa; Chordata; Mammalia; Primates; Hominidae
Description: HSALNT0346186
Source: RNAcentral